GUCAGAUAAAGUAAUCCUUCAAUAUUCCCACAACGGGGAAAUUUGCAAGAUUAUCUUUUACCAACUGCAGUAAAUGAGUGUGACUGCAGAGGCCGAGGAGAACAAGACUAAGUCAGUUACUGAGGUUACAGGUCCUCCGACGUUCUCACUGAGCCGUGAAACGAGAAUCCUCAGAUUCAUCAUGAGGCUCACUGAGGAUCCGGACGAGCCGCCAGCGCCUCACCUAUGAAGUCAUUGGAGCGUCCGAGGUCGUAGUCCCACACCGUCACCUCCAGAGUCUUGUUGCAGGACACCAGGUGAAGAACAUUCUCUGUAAUGAGGUCCCAGAUGUGGAGCUGAUGUGGAGCUCAGGGUCGGCGCUGGACAUGCCGGGGCACCUGGGAGAUCUUACCUCGUUGAAUUCAGGGUUGAGGGUCUUUU
Molecule: long non-coding RNA, 420 nt
Organism: Acanthopagrus latus (yellowfin seabream)
Lineage: Eukaryota; Metazoa; Chordata; Actinopteri; Spariformes; Sparidae
Exons: 3
Source: RefSeq, a predicted model, not a curated record